GGCAGGGAAAGGUGAGGCUCUGGAACCCGGAGCCGGGGUGGCGCGGCCGGGGACGGGGAUGAGGGGCCGGCCGGGAGUCCGUCGCGCGGAGGGUCCCUGCGUCACCAAGUUGGGCUUUAAUGUCCCCAGGCUUCCCGAAGCUGCGGGCGCCGAUGGGCGAGCGGCGUCUGCGCGGGCGCAGAAGCCCUGAUCCCCUCCGCGGGCCUGACUUCGUCCGCGCGCUGCCGGCCCGACCCCGCUGUGCCCCCCUGCCCUUUACCUGGUCCUUCGCCGGGCCCGGCGCGGGGCGAGGGGCCCUCACCUGUGCUUCAGGCUGGGCACCGCGGACUGGGGGCGCGGGCGGGGAGGUGGGGGCGGUCGGAGGGAAUUGCUGGAGCUCGCGGCCUGAACAACAGCACACCCCGGGUUUCUUUCUAAAAACAGGGAAGCUUCUCUUUGGCUGGGCCAACCUCCCCUCCCCCGACCAGAUUUCCCUCUCUCCCGGGGUCAGUACGAGGGGAGAGUGCAGAGGCCGGGUCGUCUGCCGAGGUCGCCGGUUCUGUGAGAACUCCUGACCCACCGGAUGAAGAGUGUUUUCAAUGUGAAUGUAGCUGUUUUAGUCGUCAAGGUGUGUGCCUUCUGGAUGGAACAGACCAGGCUCUCAAAGCGCAUAUACAUAGACAAAAUGCAGAAGAUCUAGGCCAUUUACAUCUCGGACACCUGAAGACAAAUGGAGCAAGUUCCCUGGAAGAGCUUUGCUUUUUUAAGGUCAGAAUUCUAAAAAGAUGUUUUAUCAAACUGGCAUUCUCCCACUUAACUGUAUAUGUAAUAAAAGAGCCCCAUCUUAGUGAUUUUCAGGGCA
RNAcentral lists this long non-coding RNA (841 nucleotides) under Capra hircus (goat). RNAcentral's name for it is "lncRNA (ENSCHIG00000004566.1)". The record is from RNAcentral. Lineage: Eukaryota; Metazoa; Chordata; Mammalia; Artiodactyla; Bovidae.